Molecule: long non-coding RNA, 462 nt
Filed under: Musa acuminata (dwarf banana)
Lineage: Eukaryota; Viridiplantae; Streptophyta; Magnoliopsida; Zingiberales; Musaceae
Description: long non-coding RNA (MACU_LNC011256)
Source: RNAcentral
CCAGCAUCGGAGACCAAAGUCUCAUUCAGGGAGAUGAAUUCCCCAGGAGUGAGUCUGUCAUCUGAAGCACCAAGCAGUAGAAGAGAGAGAGAUGAGACCAAGAAGAUUACAACGUACGGUGGUAGCAUCACCAUCAGUCUGCAGCUUCUUUUUGUGAACCUUUGUGCAUUUGAGCUUCUUGCAAGUAGAUAGCUAGGAUUUCUUCUUUUCGCUUUCUUUCCUCUCUAUGAAGGGACUUGAAACUGCUUGCAGAUUUUUAACUCCGUACUUGCCCUGUUUUGUCCACACAUGCUAAAGAAGAAUCCAAACAGUUAGACUGGUCUCAGAACAUCAAACCACAGGAUUGGCAUCUUCGUUCUGCAAGAAUCUCAAUAUCUGACCAUCAGAUUGUCACAAGAAGACAGUGCAAGAAGAGUGCAUGACAAGCAAAAUGACCCCUGCACCAUGUCCUCACUUUGAUCA